GCGCCAGUGGCUCAAUUGGAUAGAGCGUCGGCCUCCGGAGCCGAAGGUUGGGGGUUCGAUUCCCCCCUGGCGCAC
Molecule: transfer RNA, 75 nt
Filed under: bacterium BMS3Abin05
Lineage: Bacteria
Also listed under: 1 other name
Description: tRNA-Arg
Rfam family: tRNA
About the family: Transfer RNA (tRNA) molecules are approximately 80 nucleotides in length. Their secondary structure includes four short double-helical elements and three loops (D, anti-codon, and T loops). Further hydrogen bonds mediate the characteristic L-shaped molecular structure. tRNAs have two regions of fundamental functional importance: the anti-codon, which is responsible for specific mRNA codon recognition, and the 3' end, to which the tRNAs corresponding amino acid is attached (by aminoacyl-tRNA synthetases). tRNAs cope with the degeneracy of the genetic code in two manners: having more than one tRNA (with a specific anti-codon) for a particular amino acid; and 'wobble' base-pairing, i.e. permitting non-standard base-pairing at the 3rd anti-codon position.
Source: RNAcentral